UACGGGGGGAGCAAGCGUUGUUCGGAUUUACUGGGCGUAAAGGGCGCGUAGGCGGUCAGCACAAGUCAGUUGUGAAAUCUCCGGGCUUAACCCGGAAAGGUCAACUGAUACUGUGCGACUAGAGUGCGGAAGGGGCAACUGGAAUUCUCGGUGUAGCGGUGAAAUGCGUAGAUAUCGAGAGGAACACCGGUGGCGAAGGCGGGUCUCUGGGCCGUAACUGACGCUGAGGAGCGAAAGCGUGGGGAGCGAACAGG
Molecule: ribosomal RNA, 254 nt
Filed under: uncultured bacterium
Lineage: Bacteria
Description: partial 16S ribosomal RNA
Rfam family: Bacterial small subunit ribosomal RNA
Source: RNAcentral